GUUGGUAACUAAGUUGAUAUCCAUAGUUCAUGCUGCCACCUGCUACCAUGCUGAUGCCAUUGAUCCCUGCUGCCUCUGUUAACCCUGUUGAUGUCUAUGACUGCACCUCCCAUGCAUUCUAAUGGUUCUGUAAUCCAUGUUGAUAUACGUGGUCCUUGUCACCAUGGGAUAACAUCAUGAUUUCCAUGAAUUCUUUUGCCUCGUAUGACCAUAAUAAGUUUUCUGUGUUGCCAAUGUGAACAAUGUAAAUUUUCAAGAAUUGAAAUACCAACAGAAACUAAGUUAAUAUCCUAAACGUGUGCUGCUACCUUCAAAUAAGUUGAUAUCAUUGAUCCCUGCUGCCUCUGUUCACCAUAUGAAUGUUCAUGAUCAGAUUAUAAUGCUAUUCCUACUACUUCUGGAAGCAAUGUUGAUGCUCAUGAUCUCCUUACCACUGGACACCAGGUUGAUUUCCAUGAUCUCCCCUGCUACCAAGUCAAGGUAAGUGUUCCUUGUUGCCAAUGUGUAGAAUGGUAAUUCAGAAGAUUUAACGAACCUUUGGUAACUUAGCAGAUAUUCAUAAUUCAUGCUGCCACCUGCACCCAUGCUGAUGCCAUUGAUCCCUGCUGCCUCUGUUAACCCUGUUAAUGUCUAUGAAUGGAGCUCUCAUGCAUUCCUAUUGGUUCUAAAGCCAUGUUGAUGUGUGUAGUCCUUGUUUCCAUGGGAUAAUAUUUUGAUUGCCUUGACCUCUCUGGCCCCUUAUGACCAUAUUAAUGUAAGUGUUCUGUGUUGCCAACAUGAGGAAUGUAAAUUUCCAAGAACAGAAAUACAAACCAAAACUGAUAUCCAGAAUGCAUGCUGUCACCUCCAAACAUGUUGAAGUCAUUGAUCCCUGCUGCCUCUGGUAACCAUUUUGAUGUCCAGGAACAGACCUCCCAUGAUAUUUCUAGCAUUUCUGGAAGCCAUGUCGAUGACUGUGGUCCUUCUGGCCCCUAUAUUCCAUAAAGAUUUCCUUGAUAUCUCUUGCCAACUUUGACAAUGUUAAUUAAGUGUUCUGUGCUGUCAAUGUGAAGAACAUAAAUUUCCAAGAACUCAACAUCCAACUGAAACUAAGUUGAUAUCCAGAAUGCAUGGUGCCACCUCCAAACAUGUUGAAGUCAUUGAUCCCUCCUGCCUCUGUUAGACACAUUGAUGUUUAUGAUUGGAAUUAUAAUGAUAUUCCUAUCACAUUUGGAAUCCACGAUGAUGCCCAUUGUUUUUGUACUAGUAGAUACCAUUUUGAUUCCCGUGAUCUCUCCUGCUGUCUUUGACCUUGUUAAAUUAUGUAUUCUGUGCUGCCAACAUGAAGAAUGUUAAGUUCCAAUAUUUAACCAUUGAAAUGUUAAUUUCCAAGAUUUCAUCAAUCUUAAAAACUAAUUUUAUAUCCAUAAUUCCUGGUGUCACCUGCAUCCAUGGUCAUCUUCUUGAUUCCUGCUGCCUCUAUUAACUAUGUUGAUGUCUAUGAUCAGAACUUCCAUGCUAUUCCUAUUGGUUCUGGAAGCCAUGUUGAUGCCCAUCAUACCAACUUGUUACCACUGUGUAACAUCUUGAUAUGGAUGACCUGUCUGGACAUUUAUGACUACAUUAAGGUAAAUGUUCUGUGUUAACAAUGUGAACAGUGUAAAUUUGCAAGACUUAAACUACCAUCUGAAACUAAGUUAACUAUAUCCAUAGUUCAUGCUGCUGCCUGCAGACAAGUUGAUGCCAGUGUUCCCUGCGGCCUCUGUUAAGCAUUUUGAUAUCCACGAUCAGAUAGUCCAUGGUGUUCCUACUAUUUCUGAGAGCAUGUCAAUGCCUGUGGUCCUUCUUACUCCUUGAUAGGAAGUUUAUGCCCAUCUUUGCUGCCAUUGUGUUGCCAAUGAGGAUGUCAAUUUUCAAAAUUUAAUCUACAAUCUGAAAAUAAGUUGAUAUCCAUGAUUCAUGCUGUCACCUGCAACCACGUUGAUGUCAUUGAUCCCACAUGCCUCUGUUAACCAAGUUGAUGUCCAACAUAGGACCUACCAUGCUAUUCCUACUAUUUCUGGAAGCCAUGUUGAUGCCUGUGGUCCUUCCUACCACUGCAUACGAUGUUGAUUUCCAACAUCUCUCCUGCCCCUUGUGACCACAUUAAAGUAAGUGUUCUGUGUUGCCAAAAUGCAAAAUGAUGUUAAUUUCCAAGAUUUAACCCACCAUCCAAAAGUAAGAUGAAAUCCAUAAUUCAUGAUGCCACCUGAAACCAUGUUUGAUCCCAAGUGCCUCUGUUAACCAAAUGGAUGUCCAUUAUCGGGUGGACCUACUAUGCUAUUCCUACUAUUUCUGGAAGCCUUGUUGAUGCUUGUGGUCUUUCUUACCCAUGGAUAUGACAUUGAUGUCCAUCAUCUCUUCUGUCACCUGAGACCAUGUUGAUGCAAGAGUUCUGUGUUGCCAUCUUGAAGAAUGUUAUUUUCCGUGAUCUCAGCGACCAUCUGAACUAUGUUGGUAUCUAUAGUACAUGCUGCCACCUGUAACCUCGUUGCUAUCACUGCUGUCUGCUGCCUCCUUUUCCAAGUUGAUGUCUAUCGUAAACCUUACCAUACUAUUCCUGUUGGUUUGGAGGCCAUGUUGAUGCCUUGUGGUAUGUUUUGCUCUUGGAUAAGAUGCUGAUGUUGAUGGUCUGUCCUGCCACCCCAGACCAUGCUGAGGUAAGUUUUCUGUGUUGCCAACAUGAAGAAUAUUGAUUUCCAUGAGUUGACCUAUGGUCUGAACCUAAGUUGAUAUCUGUAAUUCAUUCUGUCCCUGAACCAUGUUGAUAUCACUGAUCCUUGCUCCUUUGUUUAUCAUGUUGAUUACCACGAUCUGACCUGCCAUGCUGUCCCUACUGCUUCUGGAAGCCGUGUUGAUGCCUGUGGUCCUUGGUGCCCCUGGAUAUGAUGUUGAUGUCGAUGUUCUGUCCUGACUCCUGAAUUGAUGCUGAGGCCACCAUAUUGAUGUCACUGAUCCUUGCUGCAUGUUCUAACUAUGGUGAUAUCCAUGAUCCAACCCUCCAUUCAAAACUUUGGUGAUGUCAUGGAUCCUUCCAUUUCUGCUAAGUUGCUGCCCAUGAUCUGCCCUACCACUCAAUCCCUGCUGUUUCUGGAAGCCAUGGUGAUGCCUGUGGUCCUUGUUGCCCCUGGAUACGAUGUUGACGUCCAUGUUCUGUCCUGCCACUUGAGACCACAUCAAGCUGUCAACCAUGUUGAGGUUACUGAACUUUGCUACUACCUGUAACCAUAUUGAUGUCUGCAGUGUACA
Long non-coding RNA from Peromyscus eremicus (cactus mouse), 3267 nucleotides. RefSeq lists it as uncharacterized. The transcript has 4 exons. The record is from RefSeq and is a predicted model, not a curated record. Lineage: Eukaryota; Metazoa; Chordata; Mammalia; Rodentia; Cricetidae.